RNAcentral lists this ribosomal RNA (908 nucleotides) under Firmicutes bacterium enrichment culture clone CTBE CDB1010F04. Its description in RNAcentral is "bacterial SSU rRNA". It matches the Rfam family "Bacterial small subunit ribosomal RNA", at positions 56 to 966 of the family's 1533-position model. Lineage: Bacteria; Bacillati; Bacillota. The record is from RNAcentral.
UGCAGUCGAGCGGUCCCUUCGGGGAUAGCGGCGGACGGGUGAGUAACACGUAGGCAACCUGCCUGUAAGAUCGGGAUAACUAUCGGAAACGGUAGCUAAGACCGGAUAGCUGGUUUUCUCGCAUGAGAGAAUCAUGAAACACGGGGCAACCUGUGGCUUACAGAUGGGCCUGCGGCGCAUUAGCUAGUUGGUAGGGUAACGGCCUACCAAGGCGACGAUGCGUAGCCGACCUGAGAGGGUGAACGGCCACACUGGGACUGAGACACGGCCCAGACUCCUACGGGAGGCAGCAGUAGGGAAUCUUCCGCAAUGGACGCAAGUCUGACGGAGCAACGCCGCGUGAGUGAUGAAGGUUUUCGGAUCGUAAAGCUCUGUUGCCCUAGACGAAUAGCAAGGCGAGUAACUGCGCUUUGUGUGACGGUAUAGGAGAAGAAAGCCCCGGCUAACUACGUGCCAGCAGCCGCGGUAAUACGUAGGGGGCAAGCGUUGUCCGGAAUUAUUGGGCGUAAAGCGCGCGCAGGCGGUUAAUUAAGUUUGGUGUUUAAGCCCGGGGCUCAACCCCGGUUCGCAUCGAAAACUGGUUGACUUGAGUGUANGAGAGGAAAGUGGAAUUCCACGUGUAGCGGUGAAAUGCGUANAGAUGUGGAGGAACACCAGUGGCGAAGGCGACUUUCUGGCCUAUAACUGACGCUGAAGCGCGAAAGCGUGGGGAGCAAACAGGAUUAAAUCCCUGGUAGUCCCGCCCGUAACGAUGAAUGCUUAGUGUAAGGGGUUUCGAUGCCCUUGGNUGCCAAAUUAACACAGUAAGCACUCGCCCUGGGGAGUAGCCUCGCAGAGUGAACCUCAAAGGAAUGGACGGGGACCCGCCCAAACANGGGAGUAGGUGUUUAAUUCAAAACAACCCGAAG